Molecule: non-coding RNA, 124 nt
Organism: Drosophila melanogaster (fruit fly)
Lineage: Eukaryota; Metazoa; Arthropoda; Insecta; Diptera; Drosophilidae
Source: Ensembl
UCCUUUCUUUUCUCUCCGUCUCUCUCUUUCCCUCUCUCUGUUUACAUUGAGCUGUUUUGUCCGUGCACGUGCUAGACGAUGUAGAGAGUGAGGGAGAGAGCGAAUAGAAUAACAGCUCAUUGUG